UGCAAGUCGCACGAGAAGGGUAGCAAUACCUGAGUACAGUGGCGCACGGGUGAGUAACACGUGAAUCAUCUACCUUCGAGUGGGGAAUAACUGAGAGAAAUCUCAGCUAAUACCGCAUAAUACCUACGGGUCAAAGCAGCAAUGCGCUUGAAGAGGAGUUCGCGGCAGAUUAGUUAGUUGGCGGGGUAAUGGCCCACCAAGACGAUGAUCUGUAUCCGGCCUGAGAGGGCGCACGGACACACUGGAACUGAAACACGGUCCAGACUCCUACGGGAGGCAGCAGUGGGGAAUUUUGCGCAAUGGGGGAAACCCUGACGCAGCAACGCCGCGUGGAGGAUGAAAUCCCUUGGGAUGUAAACUCCUUUCGAUCGGGAAGAUUAUGACGGUACCGAUAGAAGAAGCCCCGGCUAACUUCGUGCCAGCAGCCGCGGUAAUACGAGGGGGGCAAGCGUUGUUCGGAAUUAUUGGGCGUAAAGGGCGCGUAGGCGGUUUGACAAGUCUGAUGUGAAAUCUCUGGGCUCAACCCAGAGUCUGCAUUAGAAACUGUCGGGCUUGAGUAUGGGAGAGGUGAGUGGAAUUUCCGGUGUAGCGGUGAAAUGCGUAGAUAUCGGAAGGAACACCUGUGGCGAAAGCGGCUCACUGGACCAUAACUGACGCUGAGGCGCGAAAGCUAGGGGAGCAAACAGGAUUAGAUACCCUGGUAGUCCUAGCCCUAAACGAUGAUUGCUUGGUGUGACAGGUACCCAAUCCCGUCGUGCCGAAGCUAACGCGAUAAGCAAUCCGCCUGGGGAGUACGGUCGCAAGGCUG
RNAcentral lists this ribosomal RNA (808 nucleotides) under uncultured Acidobacteriota bacterium. RNAcentral's name for it is "bacterial SSU rRNA". It matches the Rfam family "Bacterial small subunit ribosomal RNA", at positions 56 to 896 of the family's 1533-position model. The record is from RNAcentral. Lineage: Bacteria; Pseudomonadati; Acidobacteriota.